GACGAACGCUGGCGGCGUGCCUAAUACAUGCAAGUAGAACGCUGAAGGAGGAGCUUGCUUCUCUGGAUGAGUUGCGAACGGGUGAGUAACGCGUAGGUAACCUGCCUGGUAGCGGGGGAUAACUAUUGGAAACGACAGCUAAUACCGCAUAAUAGUAGAUGUUGCAUGACAUUUGCUUAAAAGGUGCAAUUGCAUCACUACCAGAUGGACCUGCGUUGUAUUAGCUAGUUGGUGGGGUAACGGCUCACCAAGGCGACGAUACAUAGCCGACCUGAGAGGGUGAUCGGCCACACUGGGACUGAGACACGGCCCAGACUCCUACGGGAGGCAGCAGUAGGGAAUCUUCGGCAAUGGACGGAAGUCUGACCGAGCAACGCCGCGUGAGUGAAGAAGGUUUUCGGAUCGUAAAGCUCUGUUGUAAGAGAAGAACGAGUGUGAGAGUGGAAAGUUCACACUGUGACGGUAUCUUACCAGAAAGGGACGGCUAACUACGUG
Molecule: ribosomal RNA, 495 nt
Filed under: uncultured bacterium
Lineage: Bacteria
Description: partial 16S ribosomal RNA
Rfam family: Bacterial small subunit ribosomal RNA
Source: RNAcentral